CCCUUAGAUGUUCUGGGCCGCACGCGCGCUACACUGAUACAUGCAACGAGUUUAUAACCUUGAUCUGACGGUCUGGGUAAUCUUCAAACUGUAUCGUGUUAGGGAUCGAUUCUUGCAAUUUUUAAUCGUAAACGAGGAAUUCCUAGUAAACGCAAGUCAUCAGCUUGCAUUGAUUACGUCCCUGCCCUUUGUACACACCGCCCGUCGCUACUACCGAUUGAAUGAUUUAGUGAGGACUUCGGACUGGGACCGAUGCGGCUUUCGGGCUGCGUCGGUAUUCUGGAAAGAUGUCCAAACUGUAUCAUUUAGAGGAAGUAAAAGUCGUAACA
This 329-nucleotide ribosomal RNA is filed under the name uncultured eukaryote. RNAcentral describes it as "partial 18S ribosomal RNA". It matches the Rfam family "Eukaryotic small subunit ribosomal RNA", at positions 1470 to 1796 of the family's 1831-position model. The record is from RNAcentral.